Molecule: ribosomal RNA, 254 nt
Filed under: uncultured bacterium
Lineage: Bacteria
Description: partial 16S ribosomal RNA
Rfam family: Bacterial small subunit ribosomal RNA
Source: RNAcentral
UACGUAGGGUGCGAGCGUUGUCCGGAAUUAUUGGGCGUAAAGAGCUCGUAGGCGGUCUGUCGCGUCGGUCGUGAAAACUUGGGGCUUAACCCUGAGCUUGCGAUCGAUACGGGCAUGACUGGAGUUCGGCAGGGGAGACUGGAAUUCCUGGUGUAGCGGUGAAAUGCGCAGAUAUCAGGAGGAACACCGGUGGCGAAGGCGGGUCUCUGGGCCGAUACUGACGCUGAGGAGCGAAAGCGUGGGGAGCGAACAGG